This 733-nucleotide ribosomal RNA is filed under the name Trimmatothelopsis sp. JA-2019b. RNAcentral describes it as "SSU rRNA". It matches the Rfam family "Bacterial small subunit ribosomal RNA", at positions 387 to 1215 of the family's 1533-position model. The record is from RNAcentral. Lineage: Eukaryota; Fungi; Ascomycota; Lecanoromycetes; Acarosporales; Acarosporaceae.
GCCCGCGACUGCAUGCCGCGACACCAAUAGCAACGCCUACCGAUCCGCCGAAAGAGUCUAGGUAAAACACGACGACGAAGGCCAGACGCUCUCCCUCCGACCAAAAUUCGGGACAGCAGUCGCGGUAAUACGUGGAAGACUAGUGUUAUUCAUCUUUAAUAGGUUUAAAGGGUACCUAGACGGUAAAUUUAGCCCAAAAAGGGUACGGAUUUACUAGAGUUUUAUGUGAGGAGGGGAGUACUUGUAGAGUAAAGAUGAAAUUUUGUGAUACUAUAAGGAAACUGGUAACGGCGAAAGCAACCUUCUAUGUAUAAACUGACGUUGAGGGACGAAGGCUUGGGUAGCAAACAGGAUUAGAUACCCUAAUAGUCCAAGCAGACAAUUCUGAAUGCCAUAGAUUAGAUUUUUUUUUGGUCUAUAAAUGAAAGUGCAAGCAUUCCACCUUAAGAGUAAUGUGGCAACACAGGAACUGAAAUCAUUAGACCGUUUCUGAAACCAGUAGUGAAGUAUGUUAUUUAAUUAGAUGGUCCACAAAAAACCUUACCACAACUUGAAUAUUAUUAAUUUAAUACAAGCGUUGCACGGCUGUCUUCAGUUAAUGUCGUGAGAUUUUGGUUAACUCCAUUAAAUUAACGUAAACCCUUACUUUUUUUUUAUAUAAAGUAGUUCACCAUUAAAUUGGAUAUGAUAAUAGGGACUAAGACAAGUCAUCAUGACCUGAAUAUUGUGGGCU